UACGUAGGGUGCAAGCGUUAAUCGGAAUUACUGGGCGUAAAGCGUGCGCAGGCGGUGAUGUAAGACAGGUGUGAAAUCCCCGGGCUUAACCUGGGAACUGCAUUUGUGACUGCAUCGCUGGAGUGCGGCAGAGGGGGAUGGAAUUCCGCGUGUAGCAGUGAAAUGCGUAGAGAUGUGGAGGAACACCGAUGGCGAAGGCAGCCCCCUGGGUCAACACUGACGCUCAUGCACGAAAGCGUGGGGAGCAAACAGG
Molecule: ribosomal RNA, 253 nt
Filed under: uncultured bacterium
Lineage: Bacteria
Description: partial 16S ribosomal RNA
Rfam family: Bacterial small subunit ribosomal RNA
Source: RNAcentral